GAAAGCUGGCUCCCAAGCCAUCUGGUGGAUGGCUUGGUUCGGGUAGCGAUGAAGGUCGUGGCAAGCUGCGAUAAGCCGCGAGGAGACGCACGCAGUCUUAGAUUCGCGGAUUACCGAAUGUCACAUAACAUUGGGCUGAAGGCCCAAUAUUCUGGCUUUUAAGCCAGAAGGCGCACGCGGGGAAUUGAAACAUCUUAGUACCCGCAGGAAAAGAAAUCAACAUGAGAUACGGUGAGUAGGGGCGACCGAAAACCGUAGAGGGCAAACCGAAUGCCUUAGCGAAAAGUUAAGGCAGAUGUGGAGUAUGGGAUGAGAGUACAGCUUAACUUGUCGAGCCGAAGUCCCUUGGAAUAGGGCGCUAUAGAGGGUGAUAGCCCCGUAGGCAAAGACAAGAAAGCUGAUUUCUCAUUUCCCGGAGUACGAUUGGUUGAAUUUCCAGUCGGAAGAUGGGGGUCAUCUACCUCCAACCCUAAAUAUAACCCGAAACCGAUAGCGGACUAGUACCGUGAGGGAAAGCUGAAAAGAAGGGAUAAAACCCAGUGAAAAGAUCCUGAAACCAGAUGGCUAUAGUUAGAUGGUAUAAGUUCUUAGCUUAAAGCUAAGGAUGAAGCCAUCGUCCGUUUCGAAAAACGGGCCAGGGAGUUUAUACCUAUGGCGAGGCGAAAGCCGAAGCGAAAGCAAAAGUAACGCAGGGCUUUAUAGCCUGAGGUUACUCCGUACGAAAGUGCGGCAAGUCAUAGGUAUAAGACCAGAAGCCAGGUGAUCUACUCCUGGGCAAGGUGAAGUUCCCCGAAAGGGGAAUGGAAGCCUGAAGGGGUGCUGGUAUCACAUCCGCUCCUCUGACCUGGGAGUAGGGGUGAAAGGCCAAACGAACCUGGCGAUAGCUGGUUCCUCCCGAAAUGAGUCUCAGCUCAGCCCUACCCGAGUGUGUUAUGGGGUAGAGUUACUGAUUACAUGAGUAAGGGGAGAAAUCCCCGCUCAUGUUGUCAAACUCCGAAUCCAUAACACAUGUAGAAGGUAGGAGUGAGGGUAUCUGGAGUAAUUUUGUUACCCAAGAGGGAAACAACCCAGACCGAAGUUAAGGUCCUUAAGUGCCAGCUAAGUGUAACGAAAGUAGUUUCACACCUAAAACAACAGGGAGGUUGGCUUAGAAGCAGCCAUCCUUUAAACAACGCGUAACAGCGGACCUGUCUAGGUGUGAAGCGCUGAAAGUUGGUUGAAGGAGGUAGAUAAAAAUGGGUAAAAAGAAAAAAACAGAAGAAACUGAAAAAUAGACUAUGAAAAACAAUUUAAAUAAAAUUUGAAGUAAUUUACUUUUUAUUUUUUGUCUUGUUAUUUUUCAUCCUUCAACUAACCAGUAAAAUGGACGGGGCUAAGCUGGCCACCGAGGCUUCGGAUCACUUUUGCAUAUAGCAAAAGUGAUGGUAGGGAGGCGUCCUGAGAGGGUCGAAGCCUUCUCGUAAGAGAGGGUGGACCUCUCUGGAAUGAGAAUCCUGGUGGGAGUAGCAGCAAAAGUUGGGUGAAAAACCCAACCACCUACUCGGCAAGGGUUUCUCACCAAUGUUAAUCAGGUGAGAGUUAGCCGAUCCUAACCUAAGUCAUAACUUGACCUUAGGGAAAGGGAAACCGGUUAAUAUUCCGGUGCCACUUAAGUUUCAAUGAAACAUAGAUAGAUGCUUCAAGAUAAUCCGACUAUCGCCAUCGCGAUAGUCAAGCACAGAACCUCAGGGAGUCUCGUCAUGAGGAGAACUGAGGGAAUGUGUUAUGAGGCCUGCUUAAGCAGGUUUCGGACGAUUCUUGGAGCCCAUGAAAAUAUCUAUGCUAGAGAACUUAAGUGAUCGUACCCAGAACCGACACAGGUGCCUUUGCUGAGUAGGCAAAGGUGUCUGGGAGAAUCCAACCCAGGGAAUUCGGCAAAUUGGUCCAGUAAGUUCGCGAGAAUGGAUGCCUGCUCCUCUCUGAAAAAGGGAACGAGCAGGUCGCAGUGACAAGGGAGGUCCGACUGUUUAAUAAAAACAUAGCCGACCGCAAAGUGGUAACGCUUUGUAUGGUCGGUGAAUCGUGGCCACUGGCAGUGUGUGAAAGCUCCUUCCAAGGAGCCCAAGCCCUGCUGUAGGCCGGCGGUAACUCUGACCGUCUUAACUGGAUGGUCAAUUGAGCACAGCAAUGAUAAGACCACUAGGGACUUAGGUAGCGUAAUCCCUUGCCGUUUAAUUGACGGCCUGCAUGAUUGAUCAACGAGAUCUCCACUGUCCCGGGUUGGAACCCAGCGAAACCAGCUUUCUGGCGAUUAGGCCAGAGACCCCCAGUGGGAAGAAGAGACCCCGUAGAGCUUUACUGCAGUCUGCUGUUGUGAUACUUUCAAGAUUGCAUAGUGUAGGCAGGAGUCAUCGAGACAGCUCUUUCGGGAGCUGUGGAGGCGACAAUGUAACACUGCCCUAUCUUGAUAGUAUCGCUCAUCUCUUGAGAGAGAAACAGCAGCAGAUGGGCAGUUUGGCUGGGGCGGUACACCCUUGAAAAGAUAUCAAGGGUCCUCAAAGCCUAGCUUAUCAGGGUCAUAGUAGAAGAUAAGAGGAUUAUAAUGAGUGCACAUUUUUAAGGUAGCUUAUGAAUAAUCCUAAUCUUCUACUACCCUAAGGAAAUCCUGAGUUAAGUGCAAACGCAAAAGCUAGGUUGACUGGAUCCUGAAUAAUAAGGGAUCCAGGGGUGAAAAAUUCUGAACUUGAGUAAUUAUGAAGUUAGACAAUCAAGUUCAGAAUUUCAUAAGCCGGAGUUAGCGAUCCGCAGUCAGGCAUAGAUGGCUGGCUGUGGCAAGAGAAAAGCUACCUCGGGGAUAAUGGUGUCGUGGCGGGCGAGAGUUCAUAUCGACCCCGCGCGUUGCGGCGUCGUUGUUGGCUCGUCCUCUCCUGGCUGUGUAUAAGCAGCCAAGGGUGCAGGAGUCCACUGAUUAAAAGGGUACGUUAGCUGAGUUUAAACCGGCGCGAGCCAGGUUGGACUAUAUCUGCUGGGGGUGCUGCGAGUCUGAGAGGAAGGAAGGAUAAGUACGAAAGGAACAUCCUUCCGCGGCCUCUGGUGUACCGGUUGUCUGACAGGGCAUCGCCGGGUAGCUACGCCGUGUGCCGAUAAGAGCUGAAGGCAUCUAAGCUCGAAGCGGCCCUCGAAAAUAGACUCGCUGGCAGCGGGUAGACGAGCGCUUAUGAGGCAGUGGUGUAAGUACCAAGCGAAAGCGAGGUAUUCAGCCUACUGCUCUCUACGCCAAUGCCAGCCCUU
RNAcentral lists this ribosomal RNA (3270 nucleotides) under Candidatus Aenigmatarchaeota archaeon. Its description in RNAcentral is "23S ribosomal RNA". It matches the Rfam family "Archaeal large subunit ribosomal RNA". The record is from RNAcentral. Lineage: Archaea; Nanobdellati; Candidatus Aenigmatarchaeota.